Equus asinus (donkey) is the source of this 782-nucleotide long non-coding RNA. NCBI's taxonomy places the organism in Eukaryota, Metazoa, Chordata, Mammalia, Perissodactyla, Equidae. The record is from Ensembl.
AAGUUUUCCAGAUUCAAAGGUAUUUUCUAGAUUGCUCUUAGAUAUCUAACAGGCUCUAAAGAAUGUUUUGCAGUUCACUGAAAAAUAUGAAAAAAGAGCAUAUCCUUCUGGCGCGUGCUUCAGUGGCACACACAGGUGAAUCCCCACGCUGCCUAAGCCUUUGAGAGGGAGGCAGCCUCUAAGGCAGAGCAGCCUGAAGAGUGAGGGGAACGUUCGUGCGCCAAGCCUAGUGACUCCUUUGGACAUCCUAUAUAGCUCCAGAUGGAUUCCCCGGAGUCAUAACUUCUGUCUACACAGUCACUAUCACUGGAAAGAGAUGUCCAAGAAUGUUAGCCACCUAGAGGGGAUCCAAAUUUAUUGAGAAGGGUUUAGAAAUUAAAUAUCACCAGCCUGGAUGAUACUUAACAGAGAGGGUGAAUCUAAGAGGUCCUGGGCCUUCCUGAACUCAGGAAGUCGGCUAAGCUCGGAGAGAAUCCACCUCGACCAUCAGUCUGAUAAUGUCUACGCUGAUCUCCAAUGGCUUCUCCUUAGUCCUUAGCAAGAAACGUUUAGAGUCAUGUUCCUACAGUUCCAUUUACAAAAGGUGCGUCUGGGGAAAAGAGCAUUCAGGCAGAGGAACAGCAAAAAGAAAUUUUCAAGGUGUGACUCUACAGUUGAACACAAUGCUUGGCACGAUAAUAAUUCGUUGAAUGAAUGGACGGACCUAAGUCACGCUUCACUUAGAAGUCGCUCCUGCUUACUUGAGACCAUGAUGAUUUUUUCCCUUUUUAGGAUUUAUAUUG